This 497-nucleotide ribosomal RNA is filed under the name uncultured bacterium. Its description in RNAcentral is "partial 16S ribosomal RNA". It matches the Rfam family "Bacterial small subunit ribosomal RNA", at positions 28 to 507 of the family's 1533-position model. The record is from RNAcentral.
GAUGAACGCUGGCGGCGUGCCUAAUACAUGCUAGUCGAGCGAACAGAUAAGGAGCUUGCCCCUUUGACGUUAGCGGCGGACGGGUGAGUAACACGUGGAUAACCUACAUAUACGACUGGGCUAACUUCGGGAAACCGGAGCUAAUACCGGAUAACAUAUUGAACCGCAUGCUUCAAUAGUGAAAGGCGGCUUUGCUGUCACUUAUAGAUGGAUCCGCGCCGUAUUAGCUAGUUGGUAAGGGAACGGCUUACCAAGGCAACGAUACGUAGCCGACCUGAGAGGGUGAUGGGCCAGACUAGAACUGAGACACGGUCCAGACGCCUACGGGAGGCAGCAAUAGGGAAUCUUCCGCAAAGCGCGAAAGCCUGACGGAGCAACGCCGCGUGAGUGAUGAAGGUCUUCGGAGCGUAGAGCUCUGUUAUCAGGGAAGAACAAAGGUGUAAGUAACUGUGCACAUCUUGACGGUACCUUGUCAGAAAGCCACGGCUAACUACGUG